RNAcentral lists this small RNA (67 nucleotides) under Cytobacillus firmus. RNAcentral describes it as "Bacillus firmus Bacillaceae-1 RNA". The stretch from base 1 to 59 matches the Rfam family "Bacillaceae-1 RNA". Lineage: Bacteria; Bacillati; Bacillota; Bacilli; Caryophanales; Bacillaceae. The record is from RNAcentral. RNAcentral also lists the same sequence under 1 other name.
ACAAAAGGAACACACACUAAGAACGCCACGUACUGUGGCAGCGUCUGUAUGACCCCGAGUCCCUAGG